This 253-nucleotide ribosomal RNA is filed under the name uncultured bacterium. RNAcentral's name for it is "partial 16S ribosomal RNA". It matches the Rfam family "Bacterial small subunit ribosomal RNA", at positions 524 to 776 of the family's 1533-position model. The record is from RNAcentral.
UACAUGGGGUGCAAACGUUGCUCGGAAUUAUUGGGCGUAAAGCGCACGUAGGCGGUUUGUUAAGUCGGAUGUGAAAUCCCUCGGCUCAACUGAGGAAGUGCACCCGAAACUGCGAGGCUAGAGUACUGGAGAGGUUGGUGGAAUUCUCGGUGUAGAGGUGAAAUUCGUAGAUAUCGAGAGGAACACCGGUGGCGAAGGCGGCCAACUGGACAGAUACUGACGCUGAGGUGCGAAAGCGUGGGGAGCAAACAGG